This 373-nucleotide ribosomal RNA is filed under the name uncultured prokaryote. Its description in RNAcentral is "bacterial SSU rRNA". It matches the Rfam family "Bacterial small subunit ribosomal RNA", at positions 524 to 896 of the family's 1533-position model. The record is from RNAcentral.
UACAGAGGUCCCAAGCGUUGUUCGGAUUCACUGGGCGUAAAGGGUGCGUAGGCGGUGGGGUAAGUUUGAGGUGAAAUCUCCGGGCUCAACCCGGACAAGCCUUGAAUACUAUCCUGCUAGAGGAUCGGAGGGGAGACUGGAAUUCUCGGUGUAGCAGUGAAAUGCGUAGAUAUCGAGAGGAACACCAGUGGCGAAGGCGAGUCUCUGGACGAUACCUGACGCUGAGGCACGAAAGCCAGGGGAGCAAACGGGAUUAGAUACCCCGGUAGUCCUGGCCCUAAACGGUGCGCACUUGCUGUGGGCGGAUUCGACCCCGCCCGUGGCGAAGGAAACCCGAUAAGUGCGCCGCCUGGGGAGUACGGUCGCAAGAUUA